CCGUAAUGAGCUGAGCAGCAUUACAGCUUGUUUCGCUUAAUAUUUAUUCUUAAAACAUGACUUCAUUUGUGAUGGCUAUACUUGGAGAUCCAGAUACAAGUCCAGCGUGUUUGCUGUAACAAGUUAAUGCGAUGAAAUAUGGAAAAACCUAUUUGCCUCUGUCUUCAAAAUUUGCACAAAGCUCCUUUCUGGUGAGGAUUGCGUUGCACUGAUCUCUACACAUUUUCCUGGCAUGCAGUGCUGUUUGGCCCUUUAUGGGAUGGGCACAAAGACCCUGUGUCUACCUUCCCAGUGGGCUGCAUAAGAGACCGGGCACAGUGGAGACACAUACAAAGGGUUUUCCCUUUAUCAAGAAGACCUGAAGCAAAGAGAGGGUGGUGAUCUGUCCAGGUAAGGAAGCUGCUCUUACCUUACAACUUUCGUGGUAUUGCUUGGCCCUUCUAGUCAUCAGAAACGCUCUUUGCUUAGGUAAGUUGUCCAGUUUCUCUUGGCCUCUUUUCUCAUGUAUAAAAUCAAGAAAUUUGACUUAUAUCCUGCAAAACUAUGAAAAACUCAUUUUAUUUUCCAGGUUUCACCUUAACACCGUAGUCAAUCAACUGGAUGUUUUUGUUCAAAGUCUUCAUCCAGCUAACUUUGACCUCAAUAGAGAAACAUGGGAGAUGACUGGCUGAAUAGUUUAUUUUUCCCACAAAUGCUUUAGCAUUAUAUAGACAUGGAUGUAGUGUGUCCUCAGGCAUCAUAAGGAACUGACAAUUUUUGGUUUUGAAAAAUGAACUAAACUUGUCCCGAUAAUUUUGCCUGGCACUGCAACUCAAUGAAUAAUUCAGCUAAUUUACACCACAGUCAUUUGUACAUUAUGAGUGUACACGCUUUGAAAGUAUUUCUGUACCUUUGUCAUAUUGCCUAUUAAAUGUGUUCUGAAAAUAGAUACCAUGUGUGAAUGUAAGUCCUUGUUUAAAGAGUAUGUGAAUUGACACCGUGGGACCUCGUGAACAAUCUUUGCCACUUCUACAGAUUAUUUUUAUAUGGCGAUGGCUAGGAAACAGACUCUCCUUUUUAAAGGUUUUGAGAACAAACUUCUCUCAAGUUGAAUAUAUAUGUCUGGACAAGAAUAAGUUUCUUGGUUCUACAGUACUGUUAAACUUUGUACUUAUGUCUUUAUAAUCUAUCAACUGUUUAAAAUUUUUAGGGUUAGUUUAAUAAACAUCCUUGAAGUGUUCACACUAGUUAAGGAAUUCUGUCAGCUGCUCCCUCCUGGGGGUGAGAGUGAGUGGGAGAAGGUGGUGGCAGAGAAAGGAGAGGCAUUGCUGACUCCAGCCCGGAGCUCAGGGUCCUGUUGAUUACUUUCUAUUUCUCUGUCCCAGGGCGUCUGACACAGAGAAAGUGCAUAAGAUGCAGGAAUGAAUCACUGAGUGCCUGGGCUUUCUUAUCAGAACCUGUACAAUUGGCACAAGUACAGAACUAGUUUCUCCUUGGACAUGUUGCCUACUAUGUACACACAUGUCAAAUAUUUUGUUCAAAAUGUUUUUUCUUUUCCAUGCUGUCAUUUAGUAUUGAAAAUUAACAUCUGUGUCAUAUUGUAGGUGACAUGUAACAUUUUUGUUUUGCAUCUAUAUUUUCUACAUUAUAUGUGAUUAUUUUGCAAUAAAAAUGUGAUUGACAUAUUCACCAAAAUUAUCCUGACAUCAACUAGCAAACAUGCCUGCUGAUAUGUGGCCCCAAUCUGUGUCAUGUUCUCCGUAGCCAGUAUCUACAGCAAGGUUUUCAUAGAGAUUUUCUAAGUUGCUUUUUUAUAGGCUGCUAUUUUUUCUGACUUUGAUCUUUAUUUAUUGGUACAAAUUGUCCCUGACUUACCAUGGCUGGACUUACAAUUUUUCAACUUUACUAAGAGUUUAUUGGAAGGUAACGCCAUCGUAAGUCAGGGAGCAUAUGUACCACAAUUGGUUCAGCUUACUAUUAUUUGACUCUACAAUGGCUUCAUUGAAGUAUUGAAUGCAUCUUUAACACACUUCAUUUUCUUCUUAUGGUGGGUUUAUGGGAUGUAACCCAUUCAGAAGUUGAGGAGCAUCCAUAUAUCUAAGGUGUUCUUACUCAUGGGAAUAUGCUCGUCACUGUGCAGCCCCUUCAUAGAGUUCCAACAAACUAUCCACAAUGCAAUUUUAAUACUGUUUUCAGAAUUAUUUUGUAUAUCUGGACAUAAGUCAAUUUUCACAGAAAGAACAUUUAGAUUAUCAUAAAUUGGGCCUUUUCGUAUUUAAUUUCAUACAGAAAACAUAAUGCAUUGCAAUAAACUUGCAUCUUAAAAUCACAAAAGGCCAUAUUCUCAACCCCCUUUUCUCUUUUAUUUAGGUCAGAUUCCUAUCAGUGUGGCUUAUGUAAUAAAAUCUGUUGUUGCCACAGUCCUAUGUCACUCUUUCCAAUAACCUACAGCCCAUCAGUCUCUCUGAGAAGGCUGCCCUGUAGCAAAUCAUUAAAUCCUUUCAAGAACCAAGAAAACAUGGAAAAUAAAUGCAAAAGGAGAAGAUAGCUUAACUCAGGCUGGUGUUUGCAUGAUCAUGGAAACUCAUGUUAUGUUGUUUGGAAUUUUGAACAGGGAAGUUGGAGGAUGGAAACGUGCAAUCCUCUUAGAUGGUGAAACUAACUUGUAUCAGGAAUUUAUACCAGGUGCGGCAUUGAACUGAGCUGGAUUUCCAUACAACAACCUGGGAAGUGAGCCUGCCAAGAGGAUGAACACCUAGAUAAUGGACCUACAGUUCACUCAGACUCAAAAUAAGGAUUUAGGCGAGUGUUGUGUUGCUACUAUUUGUUUUCAGUUACUCCCACAAAUGGACAGGUAACCACUCAGCUAGAGAUCCUAGGGUGGCUGAGAAGGACGAGGAAGGCACAAAAAUCCCUGUGGGGAUGGCCAAAAGAGUUUUCCCAUGGGCUCUUACACUGAGAACUUUACUCCUUUAUAGUCUGAACAGCAGACAGCUCAGAGGUCAAAGGAAACUGCCCCUUCUGUGGAAAGGACUCCAUGCAUGUGUCUUUGUGCCUCUUCCUGGUCCUUCAUCUCUGUCUGUGGGUACCUUUCUUUCCAUCACAAUCAUCCUCUGGAUCACAUACUACACAGGACUCAUAAGGGUGCAGAGGGUCAGGGAUGCUGGAAAUGUCACCCAACAGCAAGGUGAUAGAGUUCCGGACAGAAUUUGAAUGGUACUUUCUAUGGCUCAUGUCUCUCGGUUUUCUGCAGUCCUUGCUGAGUUUCUUAAUCCAGUGUCUGGAGACCUCCAAGGUCAAAUGCAUGCACAUUUAAAUUUAAAUUCUAGGUGUAAAUAAAGGUAAUUUCUAGAUUUGCUUCCAUCUUGAUUUUCCAUGUCAUAGUUCUAUUCAAUUAGCAUAAGUAACUCAGAGGUGACAGUCAUGUAGAGAAUGUACUGAUGGGUGAUUUUGAUUUUUGUUAUUUUCCUACAGUGUUAAAGACCUGGAAGCUUUUUAAUAAUAGUAAAAAGUGCGCAACCAAAAAUUAUUGUGUUUUUUUUUUUUGAGAAAUGAUGCCAUUAUUUCACAUGAAUGCUCUACUUAAAAAUAGAGGUAGAGAAUCCAGGGAAAAAAAGACCCAGGAAGGUAACCUUUAAUUUGAAAUUGGAUGCAUUGUGAUACUUGUGCUGUAAAAAUCUGAUGGUAUAUUAAUGUCCUCACAUAUAUUAUCUGAAAUUGUACCUUUCCGUUAUAAUGGCUGUUCCAAUAACAUAAUAGCCACUCACCUGUAAUUAUAAGUUUUCAAAGCCUGAAAUGAUUCCAGUUGUUUUCUCUGUACUUUUCAUGUACAAUGGCUUUGUG
RNAcentral lists this long non-coding RNA (3822 nucleotides) under Homo sapiens (human). RNAcentral's name for it is "HSALNT0340769". Lineage: Eukaryota; Metazoa; Chordata; Mammalia; Primates; Hominidae. The record is from RNAcentral.